RNA transcript from Hipposideros armiger (great roundleaf bat), 4210 nucleotides. It is a transcript of the gene named kelch like family member 11, with no coding region annotated. The record is from RefSeq and is a predicted model, not a curated record. The transcript is spliced from 3 exons. NCBI's taxonomy places the organism in Eukaryota, Metazoa, Chordata, Mammalia, Chiroptera, Hipposideridae.
CCAGAACGGCUGGAUCGUUCUGAGACUGCGGCCACCGGGCGCGCUGUCGUCAAGAUGGCGGCUGCGGCGGUUGCGGCCGCGGCAGCCGCAGCUGCGGCUGCAUCUCUGCAGGUGCUAGAGAUGGAGAGCAUGGAGACAGCCGCCGGCGGCUCAGCGGGGCUGGCUGCCGAAGUCAGAGGCAGCGGCACGGUAGACUUCGGGUCCGGGCCCGGCUUAUCUGCCCUGGAGGCGAACGGGGGCGAUCCGGGCCCGGAGGCCGAGGAUUUCGAGUGCAGCUCUCACUGCUCGGAACUGUCGUGGAGGCAGAACGAGCAGCGGCGCCAGGGCCUCUUCUGCGACAUUACGCUGUGCUUUGGUGGUGCCGGAGGCCGCGAGUUCCGGGCCCACCGCUCGGUGCUGGCCGCCGCCACUGAGUACUUCACGCCCCUGCUUUCGGGCCAGUUCUCCGAGUCCCGCUCGGGCCGGGUGGAGAUGCGCAAGUGGAGCUCCGAGCCCGGGCCCGAACCCGACACGGUGGAAGCCGUUAUCGAAUACAUGUACACCGGGCGCAUCCGCGUUAGCACGGGCAGCGUGCACGAGGUGCUGGAGUUGGCGGACAGGUUCCUAUUAAUUCGUUUAAAAGAAUUUUGUGGAGAAUUUCUCAAGAAAAAACUUCAUCUCUCUAAUUGUGUGGCCAUUCAUAGCUUAGCUCACAUGUAUACCCUGAGCCAGCUCGCUCUGAAAGCUGCCGACAUGAUCCGGAGAAAUUUCCACAAAGUAAUUCAGGACGAGGAGUUUUAUACUUUACCUUUCCACCUCAUUCGAGACUGGCUGUCGGACUUGGAAAUUACAGUGGAUUCGGAAGAGGUUCUCUUUGAAACGGUUCUGAAGUGGGUUCAGAGAAAUGCUGAAGAGAGAGAGAGGUACUUUGAAGAACUUUUUAAAUUGCUCAGAUUGUCCCAGAUGAAACCCACUUACCUUACUCGGCAUGUCAAACCAGAGCGGCUGGUGGCUAAUAACGAAGUAUGCGUCAAGUUAGUGGCGGACGCUGUGGAGAGGCAUGCCCUGAGAGCCGAGAACAUACAGUCUGGCACGUUCCAGCACCCCGCUUCUCAUGUUUCAUUGUUACCUCGCUAUGGGCAAAACAUGGAUGUGAUCAUGGUUAUUGGAGGCGUGUCAGAAGGGGGAGACUAUUUAAGUGAAUGUGUCGGAUAUUUUGUCGAUGAGGACCGAUGGGUAAACCUGCCCCAUAUUCAUAAUCACCUGGACGGACAUGCUGUAGCAGUAACAGAGUCCUAUGUGUAUGUUGCUGGAUCAAUGGAGCCAGGGUUUGCUAAAACUGUGGAAAGAUAUAACCCCAAUUUGAAUACGUGGGAACACGUUUGCAGCCUAAUGACCAGGAAGCAUUCUUUUGGGCUAACAGAAGUCAAAGGGAAACUCUACAGCAUUGGAGGACAUGGCAACUUUAGUCCUGGCUUUAAAGAUGUAACUGUUUAUAAUCCCGAGCUUGAUAAAUGGCACAACUUGGAAUCGGCACCAAAGAUUCUCCGAGAUGUCAAAGCACUGGCCAUUGAGGACAGGUUUGUGUACAUCGCCGCCCGGACUCCUGUGGACCGGGACACCGAGGACGGAUUAAAGGCUGUAAUUACUUGCUAUGAUACGGAGACGCGACAGUGGCAGGAUGUGGAGUCAUUGCCACUGAUUGACAAUUACUGCUUUUUCCAGAUGUCCGUGGUUCACUCAAACUUCUAUCAGACAGCAUCAUGCUGUCCCAAGACUUAUUCUCUAGAAAAUGAAGAGGCAGUAAGGAAAAUUGCCAGCCAAGUUUCCGAUGAGAUCCUUGAAAGCUUACCUCCAGAAGUCCUGAGCAUCGAAGGAGCAGCCAUUUGCUAUUACAAAGAUGACGUUUUCAUCAUUGGAGGCUGGAAAAACAGUGAUGAUAUUGAUAAGCAGUAUCGGAAAGAAGCCUACCGAUACUGUGCUGAGAGAAAGAGGUGGAUGCUCCUUCCUCCCAUGCCGCAGCCUCGCUGUAGGGCCACGGCUUGUCACGUGAGAAUCCCAUACCGGUACUUGCAUGGCACACAGAGAUAUCCUAUGCCUCAAAACUUAAUGUGGCAGAAGGACCGGAUCAGACAGAUGCAAGAAAUACAUCGGCAUGCCCUAAACAUGCGGCGAGUGCCAAGUUCUCAGAUUGAAUGCUAGGUUCUCUAAUACGUGCAGCUUAUAACAGUUAUACCAGUUUUGUGAGGCUGAAGAUAUCCAUCCAGACUGUUACUUGAAAAAGUGUGUCGAUAACUUAUUUUCUACCUGAACGGAUUAUUGCCCCAUAGAAAGGAAAUAUAGCUGAAAAACUGCAGAGUGGGAAACUCAGUUCAACACGUGCAGGCAGCCUAGGCCAUGGGUGAAAAGAAGGGGGUAAGUCCUUCCUUGCAUGAUGAUGUGUGCAGGUUUUCCUGACUACUGAAUUUCUAAUUUUCAUAUUUGAAUUCACACGUGUGACUUCACAUCAAUAACUUAUGUUUCUGAGGUAUCCGAACUAACUUGUUAAUCAGGAAAGAAACCAGAUUUGCUUAAAUCUGUUCAAGGCUGACAUUCUGAAAUUUUCAACUGGAAAUAACUUCCUGGCGUAUUUGGAAAGGUUCUGAUUAUGACCAGCCUAAAAUGGCUGUUUGGGAAAGAAAUUUCCUUUUUUGAUGAAAACUUAAAGAUUGUGCUUGAUAAUUUAAGCAGUUAAAAAGACAGCUUUAAAAUGUAUUUAAGCAAACUUUAAAAUUUUUUUUUUGGUUUUGUGGAACGCAGAGAGGAAUUGAUUAUACAAAAAGUAAUAACAAUACAUAACUUUGAAUGAAGCUGCUUUUGUCUCAUAACGGAUAUCUUUUAACUAUACUUACCCACUAUGGUUAAAAAAAAAUCAGUGGUAUAUAUUGAGAAUGUCAGUCAUGAGCUUACUGUUUAAGUAUCUCACAGUUAUUUGCAUGAUUAGUCUUGUGUAUCUUGGUAUUCAACUUUGCUUUUGCUGUGCCAAUUCAAAAAUCUUUUUCUAAAAAAAGUUCAGAAUUCAUUGACAUCAGUUUUGUUUCGAUCAGUUGGUUUUGUAUAGUAGUUCUGGGACCAAAACAUUUUAACAUACCGACUUUUUAAAUAUAGAACAGAUGUUUGGAGCUGGAAAGACAGUGUUUAUGGAAGAUUUGUGUGCUUUUAUAUGUUAAACUCUUUAGGCUGCUGGUAAGGCAGUUUCUAGGGCACACUUUUUUCCUCUUCAUGUUUCUUGACUAGUGUAGCAUGUGGUGUGUUUAAAUACUUUAUUCUCUGCUUCAUAAUUCUAAUAUGAACACUAUACUGUAGGUAGACAGGUAAGCUAAAUUGUGUAUUUUAGUUACUUGGCCUAAUGAAGCAUAACUAAAGGGACUCUUUUUGUACUUUCCUCAAGUUAAGCUUAAAUAAAAAGUGUAUAUUGGCCAACUUUUGUGUCCUUGGAAAACAUACAGAAUUGUGAAGCAAGUUCUCUGCAUACACUAGAAAAAUAGGGUGCUGAUAGGUUGCUGUUUAACUGUAGUAUAUUUGAGAAACAGUUCAGUCUCCUUUUUUAACUGUUAAACAAUUGGCACAGUUCAUCACUCCAGUUUAUUACUUUCUUGAGAAUAGUCCAUUUUUGUUUUUGUUACAAUGCUUACAUUAUAAUGAGUUCUGGUCAUUGGAAACAAAAGAGCUCAUAGUUGAGUGAUGUGAUACAAUAACAAUAACAUAAUAUAGUAGUCAUUUUGCUUCGAGGAAUUUAGAUAGCCAAAUAACUGCUAUUUGUUGCUUACCUUUGUAGGGCUUUUGUCUUACGCUAUAUGACCAUUACUGCGAAUUUCUGACAGUGAAGCACAUAUAGUAGAGCACUUGCUGUUAACUUGAUCCUCCUGCAUAAUGCACUCGUGCAAAGUAGUGCUUGCUAGAUGUUUGAAGAUCUUAGGAUCCCUGUGCUAGGGCUCAUUGAGUUAUCUGUAAAAUAAAUAUGUAGUUCAAGCUGAUAUACAGUGAAUUUUGGGGGCCAGCAGUAUCCAAGCUCCUACUUUACUGAAAGUAUAAUUGUGACUAUCUCCCGUCAGUCAGAGGAGAUGUGGAAUUUAGGACACUUUGAGACAUUGCAUUGUAAAAUAGCUUGUUUUAUGUUUCUAAAGCUAUCUUGUUCUGUGUUAAAUCAUCUCAAUGUAAGUUUUAAAUAAAUGUAUUUCAUUAGAGCUGG